AYCAAAAUGACUCUCGGCAACGGAUAUCUCGGCUCUUGCAUCGAUGAAGAACGUAGCAAAAUGCGAUACUUGGUGUGAAUUGCAGAAUCCCGUGAACCAUCGAGUCUUUGAACGCAAGUUGCGCCUGAAACCAUUAGGUUGAGGGCACGUCUGCCUGGGUGUCACA
This 166-nucleotide ribosomal RNA is filed under the name Galactia striata. RNAcentral's name for it is "5.8S ribosomal RNA". It matches the Rfam family "5.8S ribosomal RNA". Rfam says of the family: 5.8S ribosomal RNA (5.8S rRNA) is a component of the large subunit of the eukaryotic ribosome. It is transcribed by RNA polymerase I as part of the 45S precursor that also contains 18S and 28S rRNA. Functionally, it is thought that 5.8S rRNA may be involved in ribosome translocation. The record is from RNAcentral. Lineage: Eukaryota; Viridiplantae; Streptophyta; Magnoliopsida; Fabales; Fabaceae.